Molecule: long non-coding RNA, 1099 nt
Filed under: Cyanistes caeruleus (blue tit)
Lineage: Eukaryota; Metazoa; Chordata; Aves; Passeriformes; Paridae
Description: lncRNA (ENSCCEG00000007868.1)
Source: RNAcentral
GAAAGGGUGUCUGUCUCAACAGAUUUCUCUUUUUCAGUGAUGAAGUAAUCAUAAUUUUCUAUUUCAUCCCUUACUACUCAUAAACAAUCUAAAUUAUCUCUUAAAAUCACUUGGAUUCUCUAUUUUAAACACUUUCUAAGGAAGCUUAUUUAUGGUUACUAAAAACAUAUUGUUUCCUUUUCUGAAGCCUUGUCUUGAUUUCCCUGGUGACCACAGAUAAGAAAGUAUUUCCCUUCAGCUGUCAGUUUUUCCUAUUGUGCUUUAGAGAGAGAAAGGCCUCCUGUAUUGAUCUUUGUUUUUUUAAAUCUGCUAUCUGUGUGUCUUUAAAUUUCUGCUAUGAGGUAAUUUCUGAAGAGAUAAAAAUGGACUGAAUCAUAACUUUAUUUUGAAUACUGUGAGUUUAGCUUUUGCAAAUUUUUUACUUCUUUUACAACUGUUCAUCCAGGAUAUCCACAUCCACGCCUAAAUGUGUAAGUAGAAAGGACCUGCCCUGGGUUUGGAGUGAUUUGCCUCUGGCACUGGAGUAAACUCCCUGAGAUAUGAGGAGACUGCUAGUGAUAAAAGGAAAAUAAAUUAAUUACAAGUGACAAUGCUUUGCACCUCCUAAUGAAGAACUGAUAGAGAUAUCAUAUGAGUGAAGAAUUAAGCAGGAGCACUGCUAAGAGGACUUCAUGAGACACUACGGGCAAUACAUGCUACAAGACUAGAGAACUCCCCUCCCUUCUGCCUGUCCUGGAGGAUUCCUUUGCUGAAGAUUCAGCUUGUUCUAGCUUACAUGCAAAGUUUCAGAGGAAUUCUAGCACUUCUUUAAUUAACUAACACCUCUGUGAACUAGAAAGAUUAGGUUUUUCUGCCUCCUUCAAACCUGUUUUUCAUGUCUGUGGUUUAGCUCACCUCUUGCUGUAUUCUGUAACAGGGCGCUUCUCAAGAGGAGCUGGAAGUUAAUUACAUCUUCCAGCUUAAGUUAGAAGAUCAGCCUCACUGUUGUGCUCCAGGACAAAGAGAAAAUCUCUUUUUCAGAGUAAACCCUACAUUAUUUCCUUUUUCCUGUGAUUCUGGAGGAGUCCUUUUCAAGCUUUCCCCUUCAUUUGGGUGGAGC